Non-coding RNA from Biomphalaria pfeifferi, 232 nucleotides. Lineage: Eukaryota; Metazoa; Mollusca; Gastropoda; Planorbidae. The record is from the annotation of a GenBank genome assembly.
CCCCCCCCAAGCAAUAGAAGAAUAGACAAAAACAAUCCAUACUUUCCAUGGUGUUAGGCGACCCCUGACUAAUCGUAAAUCGGCCCCCAAAGGGGUCGCGAAUCACAGGUUGAGAACCCAUGCUAUAGAUCGCCACCGUUUUUAAUACAGCUAGAACAUCCUGGGCAGCCAUGGAGAAGGCAAGGGGGAGAACAGAAUCAUUGGACAAUUUGAUUUGAAUCUUAACAUACAA